AUUGAACGCUGGCGGCAUGCUUUACACAUGCAAGUCGAACGGUAGAGGGGGCAACCCCUUGAGAGUGGCGAACGGGUGAGUAAUGCAUCGGAACGUGCCCAGUCGUGGGGGAUAAAGCAGCGAAAGCUGUGCUAAUACCGCAUACGAUCUCUGGAUGAGAGCGGGGGACCGAAAGGCCUCGCGCGAUUGGAGCGGCCGAUGUCAGAUUAGGUAGUUGGUGGGGUAAAGGCUCACCAAGCCAACGAUCUGUAGCUGGUCUGAGAGGACGACCCGCCAUCCUGGGACUGAGCAACGGCCCAGACUCCUACGGGCGGCAGCAGUGGGGAAUUUUGGACAAUGGGCGCAAGCCUGAUCCAGCAAUGCCGCGUGCAGGAAGAAGGCCUUCGGGUCGUAAACUGCUUUUGUACGGAACGAAAAGGUCUGGGUUAAUACCCUGGGCACAUGACGGUACCGUAAGAAUAAGCACCGGCUAACUACGUGCCAGCAGCCGCGGUAG
This 496-nucleotide ribosomal RNA is filed under the name uncultured bacterium. RNAcentral's name for it is "partial 16S ribosomal RNA". It matches the Rfam family "Bacterial small subunit ribosomal RNA", at positions 29 to 523 of the family's 1533-position model. The record is from RNAcentral.